This 390-nucleotide ribosomal RNA is filed under the name uncultured bacterium. Its description in RNAcentral is "bacterial SSU rRNA". It matches the Rfam family "Bacterial small subunit ribosomal RNA", at positions 29 to 408 of the family's 1533-position model. The record is from RNAcentral.
AACGAACGCUGGCGGCGCGCCUAAUACAUGCAAGUCGAGCGAGAAGACGUAGCAAUACGUUUGUAAAGCGGCGAACGGGUGAGGAAUACAUGGGUAACCUACCCUCGAGUGGGGAAUAACUAGCCGAAAGGUUAGCUAAUACCGCGUACGCUCCUUGGACUUCGGUUCAGGGAGGAAAGCGAUACCGUGGGUAUCGCGCUCUUGGAUGGGCUCAUGUCCUAUCAGCUUGUUGGUGAGGAACGGCUCACCAAGGCUUCGACGGGUAGCUGGUCUGAGAGGACGAUCAGCCACACUGGCACUGCGACACGGGCCAGACUCCUACGGGAGGCAGCAGUAAGGAAUAUUGCGCAAAUGGGCGAAAAGCCUGACGCAGCGACGCCGCGUGGGGGA